RNAcentral lists this ribosomal RNA (460 nucleotides) under uncultured bacterium. RNAcentral's name for it is "partial 16S ribosomal RNA". It matches the Rfam family "Bacterial small subunit ribosomal RNA", at positions 338 to 795 of the family's 1533-position model. The record is from RNAcentral.
CCUACGGGAGGCAGCAGUGAGGAAUAUUGGUCAAUGGACGAGAGUCUGAACCAGCCAAGUCGCGUGAAGGAUGACUGCCCUAUGAGUUGUAAACUUCUUUUAUAUGGGAGUAAAAUGUUCCACGUGUGGGAUUUUGUAUGUACCAUAUGAAUAAGGAUCGGCUAACUCCGUGCCAGCAGCCGCGGUAAUACGGAGGAUCCGAGCGUUAUCCGGAUUUAUUGGGUUUAAAGGGAGCGUAGGUGGAUUGUUAAGUCAGUGGUGAAAUUUUGAGGCUCAACCAUAAAAUUGCAGUUGAAACUGGUAGACUUGAGUACAGUAGAGGUGGGCGGAAUUCGUGGUGUAGCGGUGAAAUGCUUAGAUAUCACGAAGAACUCCGAUUGCGAAGGCAGCUCACUGGACUGCAACUGACACUGAGGCUCGAAAGUGUGGGUAGCAAACAGGAUUAGAUACCCGAGUAGUC